This 68-nucleotide transfer RNA is filed under the name Marmota monax (woodchuck). RNAcentral describes it as "tRNA.Val". The record is from RNAcentral. Lineage: Eukaryota; Metazoa; Chordata; Mammalia; Rodentia; Sciuridae.
GGAUUGUGGCUCAGUGGCAGAGCACUUGCCUCACACACGUGAGGCACUGGGUUUGAUCCUCAGCACCA